GCCACAGAACUCACUGUCUACCUCCGUGUGACCUUCAUAGCCAUUGGCUCCUCGGUGCCUUUAUUUACCUUCUUCUUACAUAAGCAUAACCUUAGCAUCUACUUCAAAGGGUUGGUGUAGAUUAAAUUAGGAAUUGUGUAAAGGCUUUCAUACAAAUAGAAUUUGGUUAUUGGCUGUUAAUAGCAUUAACUAAUAACUAAAUGAAUUCCCUCAAGCAAGACCUUAUGAAUAUAGAUCUCCUCUGACAUCUUGAAGAGAUACAGCCAACUAUUUCAUAUAACUUGACUCAGAAAUUGGGGAUGUUGGCGUAUGAGUUCAGUUAGGAUUUGUAUUCAUGUCCGCAUCUCAAGAUCAGCUUUCUUUGUAUAAACUACCUUGAGGAACAUAACAUCAUCAAAAGAAAAUAUGCCUUAGAAAGGGAUUUUGAAGGCACAGAAAAACACGAAUUUUAUUUCAGGAGUCACUGGCCUUGCAUACUACAGGUGUUCAUCACUGAGGAUCAACAUGUAUACCAUACUUUUGACACAGUUUUUUCUCUGCAAAUCUUUUUUGAUUUCAUUGGAGAGCUGACUUGAGAGGGUAAGCUGAAUCUGCACUGGUCAAACAGGAGUUGAAUUAAGACUUGGAAUAACAAAAGGGUAACAUGGAUUAUAAAGCCGGUGGAUCACUUCUUAUGAUCUGAUACAUUUUAUACAGAUGCUGCAUUUCAUGGGGCUAACCAUGUUCUGUUAUACAAUGAUCUAAUUCAAUGCCAAGACAUUUCAAGAAUGUUAUACAGACAGUACCCUGGCAAGAAGAAUUUCUCCUUGAUUGGAGUGAGCCAAUAAAAUCAAAGUUAGACAUAAUAAGCAAGAUACAUUGGCUUAGUUGGUAACAGGAAAUGAACAGUGAAUGGUUUCCUUUGUGAGUCCACAGUGAUCAGAUAAUUCUAUUGUCUCUUUCUUGCUAUGAUGU
Long non-coding RNA from Talpa occidentalis (Iberian mole), 954 nucleotides. RefSeq lists it as uncharacterized. Lineage: Eukaryota; Metazoa; Chordata; Mammalia; Eulipotyphla; Talpidae. The record is from RefSeq and is a predicted model, not a curated record. The transcript is spliced from 5 exons.